Gasterosteus aculeatus aculeatus (three-spined stickleback) is the source of this 2685-nucleotide long non-coding RNA. The record is from Ensembl. Lineage: Eukaryota; Metazoa; Chordata; Actinopteri; Perciformes; Gasterosteidae.
AAAUGAUCCUAAGAUCCGUAUCCGAAGACCCAGUCAAAAUGAACGAAUCAGUUCUGGUUUCUCUAGCUACCAGUGCUGAGCCUCUGCAGGUCACGUGAAAAAUCUGUAUCCGGCAGAUGAACGAAUCGUUCACCUCCCGACCGUGUCUUCGGGUCAAUAAUUCGUUCAUCGUUUUCAUUUUCACGGCGUUUACGUGCGUUUACCCUCCACUACAGCCCUGCUUGGAACGAUUCGUUCAACGACACAUCACUACUUUCUGCAGUAGCGGACACAUUUGUCCCGUAUUUUCCUCCAGAACUUUGGGCACCUCUCGACCGGCAAACCGGCGCUUACGGACAUCUCCCUCCGUGAAUCCAACCCGCCAAUGACGGCUUGUAUAAGCGGUCAUAUUUACGCAUUUAUUCCGACAAAAGUUCUUAAAUCUGAUCCGUUCUCUCGUAAACAUUCUUCGUUUUAAUAAUGGCGGUAUCGUGCUAUGAAAGCGGAAAUGUGAGACUCCGUAAAGGACGUAGUUAGCGGACCAAUCGCAGCCUGGUGCGCUGCGGGAGGCUUGCGUUGCUUGCGUCGCUUUUGACGCAAGCCUAGAAAAAUGGCUCGACGCAGGGAGGUGUGAAAAGGCACGCAAGGGGGGCUUGCGUCUGCGUCGCUCUGAAAACGCAGAAACAUAAAAUAGGCUUUGGACAUGUAAAUUACGUUAGAUUAUCACUAUAUAAUCAUUUUUACUUGUAUGGUGACUAAUCCUUAAAUUAAAAAAACAUAUUAAUUAAUACAUGAAUUUUGGAUUUAGUAUUAUACCAUAUAAAAUAAAAAAGACAACUAGAUGUGUUACAGGGUUCAAUGAUUGUCUCAUUGAGAACAAACCCUCUGAUUCGUUGGCUGAUUUUAGUCACUAGAGACAGUUGAGAUCAAGCUACCAUUAACAUUGGAGUGAAUAAAUUAGAAUAUUUAGAAUUUUUCAUUUUGGGGGAAGUUAACACACAUUUUUCUGAUCUGCUUUUUGUCAUAUUUAUUUAUUUAUCUAUCUAAACUGUAGGAGCGUUGACGGGCUGCAGCGUGGAGGUUCAUUGAGUCUCUGAUUGACAGAGUGGGAGAGAAGAUGUCGUCUGUCGUCCAGCAGCAGAGAACAAACAGACAUUCAUGACUCUGCAGUUGCACUUGACUGCGUCAUUAGAGACGCUCACACGUCCCGUUGAACUCGUUGAGCUUGAAUUUGUGUUAUUUGUGGAGAAUUGAAUUUGUUUUAUUUGUGAAGAAUUAAAUUUGUUUUAUUUGUGGAGAAUUGAAUUUGUUUUAAUGGUGGAGAAUUGAAUUUGUUUUAUUUGUGGAGAAUUGAAUUUGUUUGUGCUUUGAGUUGCCUGACUUCAUUCUUUAGAAACAUUCAUGUUUUAAUCAAAAUGUUCCAUAGAGGAAGAAGUAGAGGAACACAUGUUCAUCUACUUUAAAUAUUCUCUUCUUUUGCCGUUAUUCUAAGACAAGAUGUUUUAUUACAGGAAGAAGAGAGUCAACAAUUCAAAUCAGGCUCAAAGUGUCGACUCACACCUGCGUGUGUCAUUCAAUUUAUUCAAGUCAACAAAUAACAAAGAACAUGAGAUUUUCUUUGGUUAUCAAAAUGUAUUUAUUAUUGUUUAGAUAAUAAUCACAUGAGAUUACUUACAUGAUACAAUAACACACAUACAAACAAUAACAAUAAUACAACACAAUGAUUGGGGGGAAAUCUGAAGGAGUUCCUGAGAAGAAAGAAAAGAAGUAGUUAUUGACAUGUUAAUGUCGUUAGUGUGUCUGUGUGUAGAACAAAAUGUUAGUUUGUCUAUGUGUACAUCUAAAUGUUAAAUGAUCUAUGUGUAUCUCAAUAUUAAUGUGUCUAUGUGUACAUCUCAAUAUUAAUGAUCUAUGUGUACAUCUAAAUAUUAAUGAUCUAUGUGUACAUCUCAAUAUUAAUGAUCUAUGUGUACAUCUCAAUAUUAAUGGGUCUAUGUGUACAUCUCAAUAUUAAUGAUCUAUGUGUACAUCUCAAUAUUAAUGAUCUAUGUGUACAUCUCAAUAUUAAUGUGUCUAUGUGUACAUCUCAAUAUUAAUGAUCUCUGUGUACAUCUCAAUAUUAAUGUGUCUAUGUGUACAUCUAAGUAUUAAUGAUCUAUGUGUACAUCUCAAUAUUAAUGAUCUAUGUGUACAUCUCAAUAUUAAUGAUCUAUGUGUACAUCUCAUUAUUAAUGAUCUAUGUGUACAUCUCAAUAUUAAUGUUUCUAUGUGUACAUCUCAAUAUUAAUGUGUCUAUGCGUACAUCUCAAUAUUAAUGAUCUAUGCCUACAUCUCAAUAUUAAUGAUCUAUCGGUACAUCUCAAUAUUAAUGUGUCUAUGCGUACAUCUCAAUAUUAAUGAUCUAUGUGUACAUCUCAAUAUUAUUGUGUCUAUGCGUACAUCUCAAUAUUAAUGAUCUAUAUGUACAUCUCAAUAUUAAUGAUCUAUGUGUACAUCUCAAUAUUAAUGUGUCUAUGUGUACAUCUCAAUAUUAAUGAUCUAUGUGUACAUCUCAAUAUUAAUGUGUCUAUGUGUACAUUUAAAUAUUAAUGAUCUUUGUGUAUCUAAAUGUUAAUGUGUGUCUAAAUAUUUAUGAUCUGAGGCCGGCUCCCAGCCGCCGUCCUCCUCUUCUUCAUCAAAUUCACCUUCCAUUUAACAACAGUCAAC